GAUGAACGCUGGCGGCGUGCCUAAUACAUGCAAGUCGAGCGAACGGACGAGAAGCUUGCUUCUCUGAUGUUAGCGGCGGACGGGUGGGUAACACGUGGAUAACCUACCUAUAAGACUGGGAUAACUUCGGGAAACCGGAGCUAAUACCGGAUGAUAUUUUGAACCGCAUGGUUCAAAAGUGAAAGACGGUCUUGCUGUCACUUAUAGAUGGAUCCGCGCUGCAUUAGCUAGUUGGUAAGGUAACGGCUUACCAAGGCAACGAUGCAUAGCCGACCUGAGAGGGUGAUCGGCCACACUGGAACUGAGACACGGUCCAGACUCCUACGGGAGGCAGCAGUAGGGAAUCUUCCGCAAUGGGCGAAAGCCUGACGGAGCAACGCCGAGUGAGUGAUGAAGGUCUUCGGAUCGUAAAACUCUGUUAUUAGGGAAGAACAUAUGUGUAAGUAACUGUGCACAUCUUGACGGUACCUAAUCAGAAAGCCACGGCUAACUACGUG
This 497-nucleotide ribosomal RNA is filed under the name uncultured bacterium. Its description in RNAcentral is "partial 16S ribosomal RNA". It matches the Rfam family "Bacterial small subunit ribosomal RNA", at positions 28 to 507 of the family's 1533-position model. The record is from RNAcentral.